UAGUGAUGCGAACAAUCUCUGAGAAAAUACUUGAAUCUCUCUCAUGCAUGAUAGAGAUUCUUAUCUGGCUUUUGUUUGAAACCAAGGAUCUCAUUACUCAACCU
Molecule: small nucleolar RNA, 104 nt
Organism: Capsicum annuum
Lineage: Eukaryota; Viridiplantae; Streptophyta; Magnoliopsida; Solanales; Solanaceae
Source: RefSeq, a predicted model, not a curated record